RNAcentral lists this ribosomal RNA (424 nucleotides) under Verrucomicrobiota bacterium. RNAcentral describes it as "Verrucomicrobia bacterium partial 16S ribosomal RNA". It matches the Rfam family "Bacterial small subunit ribosomal RNA", at positions 355 to 776 of the family's 1533-position model. Lineage: Bacteria; Pseudomonadati; Verrucomicrobiota. The record is from RNAcentral.
UGAGGAAUAUUGGUCAAUGGGCGAGAGCCUGAACCAGCCAAGUAGCGUGCAGGAUGACGGCCCUAUGGGUUGUAAACUGCUUUUAUAUGGGAAUAAAGUGAGGGACGUGUCCCUUAUUGCAUGUACCAUACGAAUAAGGACCGGCUAAUUCCGUGCCAGCAGCUGCGGUAAUACGGAAGGUCCAGGCGUUAUCCGGAUUUAUUGGGUUUAAAGGGAGCGUAGGCUGUUUGUUAAGCGUGUUGUGAAAUGUAGGAGCUCAACUUUUAGAUUGCAGCGCGAACUGGCAGACUUGAGUGCGCACAACGUAGGCGGAAUUCAUGGUGUAGCGGUGAAAUGCUUAGAUAUCAUGACGAACUCCGAUUGCGAAGGCAGCUUACGGGAGCGCAACUGACGCUAAAGCUCGAAGGUGCGGGUAUCGAACAGG